Long non-coding RNA from Heteronotia binoei (common prickly gecko), 1124 nucleotides. RefSeq lists it as uncharacterized. The record is from RefSeq and is a predicted model, not a curated record. The transcript has 2 exons. NCBI's taxonomy places the organism in Eukaryota, Metazoa, Chordata, Lepidosauria, Squamata, Gekkonidae.
UUGUUUUAUUUAUUUAGAUUGUUUUGUACAGAGGAAAUACUAGGGUGGAGGAAUUUGGAAAGGCCCUUCUAAUCACACUGGCUAUCUGAUCACAAUCCUACAUGAAGUCAGGUGACAAUAUCUGAGGGAGAAACUGCUCUGUAUCCUUUAUAAACAUUUGCUUUCAUGCUAUAAUCCCCUAGAGGUAAAAGAACAAUCUUGCAAGGAGGCAUUCUGGUCCCAGCUUGACAACACAUGGUUGUUUCCAAUACUUGUACACCCCUUGGGCAAAAGCUGUUACCUUGUGAAUGAAACACAACACAUGGAGAAUCCAGCAUAGCAUUUUCAGAACUAGAAGUCUUCAGAAUCAGUCUGGCUGCGUAAAAGAUGAUCCUCUUUCCCGCUUAAGGUGACCAGUUCUUCACGGUGAAUUGUAAAAGAAUGUGGAGGAGCCCAACUCUCUGCUGUCUCUUGGUAGCAGCACAACUGUAUUUCCUGAACUCAGUCUACAGUCAAGAGACAGGUUGGUGUCCUUGGAUUCAGCUUACCAUCUGUAUUUGCAGUUGUGAUUUCUUGGCAUGUGUUCUGGCUUAGUUCAGACACAACUGUGGCUGGAUGCAUGAAUGGCAGGGUAAUAUGUUUGUCUCACUUCUGCAACAAAUCUUUUUGCCAUUAUAACUGAACUGGCGAUCUGUGGUUGGUGUUUGCCCUAGAAACCUAUGCUAUAUCUGCACACGGUCAGACAGUGCACUGUUGCACUGUAGGAAUUCUUCACAACUGAACUAGGCAAUCCCGUUGCAAAUGAUUGUGAUGAUCCCUGGCUCUGAAGAGGUCGGGUUGUCCUCAGCAAGGGCCAGGACUUCUUCAAUCCUGACCCUGACCUGGUGGAAUGCUCUGCCUGUAGAUACCAAGGCCCUGCGAGAUCUUCUACAGUUUCAUAAGGCAUCUAAGGCAGAGAUGUUCUGCCAGGCUUUUACCCAAGGACAGUGAUGGUUGCUAUGCUGGCACCUCUCUCCUCAGUACCCUCCAAGAGUCCCUCCACCCCAAUGUAGCAUCCAGUAUCUGAUAUUUGAAUUCUGAAAUCUGAAAUUUAGACCUGCAGUGAUUGAAUAAGACACCAUUGAGACUAAAAUUGCUUCUGAAAA